RNAcentral lists this long non-coding RNA (4208 nucleotides) under Hordeum vulgare. RNAcentral describes it as "long non-coding RNA (HVUL_LNC004197)". Lineage: Eukaryota; Viridiplantae; Streptophyta; Magnoliopsida; Poales; Poaceae. The record is from RNAcentral.
UCACACCCAUCGCGUCCAGCGUUUCUCCUUUUCUCUACUCCCAACUAGCUAGGGACGCCGCCGCCGCCCUCACCCGCGCUCGUGCCCUCUUCGUCUCCUGUCCCGAGGUCCACCUCCUCCAGCCUCAUCUCCCUCGAUCUUCUUGAUUUGGAUCUCGGGAGCAGACAUGGGAGGGAGGCGAUGUGCCGGCGAGGCCUCUGGGACCGUGUGGCGGGCGUGAGCCCCCCACCCUCGUCCACGACGAUGAGGACUGGUUCGCGUUUUGCCUCCAGUUCCAACUCAUGGUCACGCUGGAUAUGCCCCAUGACACCGUUUGCGUCAAUCUGAAGGUUAGGGAGGACAGGGACGAGGUGCGGGCACAAAUGCAGGUCCUCUCUCUCUCGGUUGGAUCAGAAACUUCUCAAUUUUACACGCAGAAUCGACCUGAUGGUUUCUUCUAAAUGUUUAUUAAAACCUAAGAAGCUUUCUUUGUUUUGUCAUAAUCAGGUGUUGAAUGAUUCUCAAUAUCGAUCAACAAUCUAGUAGGUGGCACAUAUGGGUCCCUCACCAUGCUGUUGACACGAUGGCCCUACCGAAUCAAGGACGAGCCAUGAGAUAACAUAGCCGGCGGCUCUCGUCACGCACACCGGUUGGUCCUGCUCCGGCGAGCCGCCGCCACCGUGCCUGUUUAGAUCUCACUAUUUAGUUUAUAGGUGACCCGUGCCUCCUUUUAUCUCCCUUGCAUUAUUGAUGUGGGUAACUUCCACUCUAGUCCUAACCUUCUCUUUUGGUUUUCCGGUAGGUUCUUUGUCGGGCAGUGUAGAACUGAAAUAGUUGAAGAGAACAUCAUGAGGCGAUGCUAGAAGCUUGCUUGUGUGCUAGCCGUUGUUGUGAUUUUAAGAAAUUUACAAGUUCACUCAAUGGAAAAAAGAGGGACUAUGGUGAGAGGUGACUAAAUCUACAAUGUUGAAUCCCUUUACCAUUAGUACUCCCUCCAUUUUUAUAUACAAGGCCACAAACCCACAUUACACGUACCAACGCAAAAGUUAAUGCCUUCCAAGUCAACGUUGCAAGACAACUUGUCUCCUUGUUUACCGUGUAAAUUAAUGUGUAUUUCUCUGUCUCAUGCAUAUCAAGCCAAUGAUCUCACUCCUGCAUGCAUGCAAGGGAUAAUUAAUGUCCUGCUUUGCUAGUACUACGAGGCAAACACCAUUAAUGUUGCAUCAAUUAGUGUUAGUGGCCUUGUAUAUAUGCAAAUUGUAAUUUUUAUAGUGGCCUUGCAUAUAAAAAUGGAGGGAGUAGUUUAAAUAGCAACCAAAAUUUCUUUUCAUGAGACGGUGAUUAAUUAGUCUAAAGUUGUUCUACAUAUUAGUAAAAUGUUGUAUUUGCACUAGAAAGUUCAAUUUCUUUGCUAAACCAUGGACCGGUCAAUGUUGAAUUAGCUGAGAAUGUUUUUGAAGUUCGUUGAAUCACUUGUGUGAAUAUUUAUACCAACUAUGAGUGUUUCAUAAUCGUGGGAAUUUCUUUACCAUCUUUCAAGUACAUCGAAAUCUCCUAGGAUGGCAAACAAGAAGUCGACCAAAAUAUCCGGCAACGGUGGUGAGCAUAGUGGUGACAUGUGAUUUCCAUGCCUAUUUGUCGGCUCUACAAAAUGCACAUUUGAUUUCUCCAUAUUCAUUUGUUGAUUUCUACUUUCAUGAGAAGUUGAGAACUACUUGAGGCAGAGUAUUUACAUCCUCAAUUUCAUCCUUCACUCCUUGUAGGUGUACUUACCCUUCUCUUGCUGCUGUUGCAUCUAGAUAUGCAAUCUAUGCUAGCUUUGUGGAAGUGGAGAUGGAAAGGACGUUGUCAUUAGUCAAGUCAUGUGAGCGGGGAAGGGGCCAAAAAAGCGAAGCUAAAAACAGCUAACAGGCCCAUCAGAAUAUUGUAAGGAUGAAACUUUUCAUCCUUGCACAUCAUGUGAUAAUUGAAUACUAUAAUCACAUGACCUAUUUACUCGUUAUGAUCUCAUAUACAUAUUUUUGGGACAUUUUUUGUUCCUUUUCUUUCUUCACGGGCCAUCUUUAGUGCUUUUCCAGUUAAUGGUAUCUUUGGGCCGAAAUAUAAUAGUUGCUAAUGCCUUUGGAUCGUUUACUUUGUUGGUUUUAUGAUUCUUGGAGGAUUCAUCACAACUAAAGGUUGAUUCGUCAGAAAUAUUUUCAGCUACUUGAGGUUACAUUUUGAACCGAUACAUCUAACAUAUUGCAACCUUUUUCUGACUAUUUAAAAGAAAGCUCAGUCUGUUGGUUUUGGUGUUAUGGGAUCUCUCCUAUUAUAUAUGCACAAAAUGCUAUAUCAGUAUAUGAAUUCCAUGGGCAUUCUUGGUCCAAGGUGAACUUGAUUUUAAUAAUUCUCCGAAGAAGUUGUGCACUUUUCAUUUUGUCUCAACCAAUGUCGCUUUCAUCUUAAUCAUAGACAUGCGAGCCUAAUUUUUCUUGCAUAUUUUACUUGGUGGCUAACUCAAACUUAUUUGUUGUCAUUUUUGUAUUCAUCAUCACGAACAAGACCAGAUCACUGGAGUAGUCUCUGUCAAAACAUAUAACAAAUAAUAAGCCCUAUCACUACCUCUAGAGAACAAACAAGAGUUAAAUGAUGUAGAUUAUGAAUGAUGAACUCGUAAUGGGCGUGGAGGGCAGGUCUGCAAGGUGUUUUGGUAACCCUUUCUUGGUGUGAACAAUAUGGUCUGGUAUUGUUGUUAGUUGUCAAUCAAUCCAGGAUUUGACCUUGUUUGCAAAUUCAAGUGUUUUAUUAGAAGGAUGACGCAAAUCCAACACAAGGAACAUGUUAAUAUGCAUACUAUUGUUCUUCCUGAGUCAUUUGUGCAACAUAUAUUUUUCACCAUAGUAAUUGAAAUUUGACUCGUGUGUAGGUUGAUUUUGGUGUGUUCGAAGUUCUACAACUAUCAAAGGCUGCUCGUUCUGAAAGUUAUUCAGAAACAUGCACGCUGUGACCAACUUUUUUUUCAGAUAUCUCUAUUUUUCAAUGGUUUGUGCUGAUUCACAAAGGUGCAAUGAAAUUAUCUAAAAUCAUUUUAUUUUGGCUUCCCAUUGACUACUUUGAAGAGUGGGGCAUCCUGAUGUUUUCCUUUGACGUGCACAGUAUCCCUAUGUUUUUACACUACCAUUUUUUCAUUCUUUUUUAGUGUAUAUGAUGCACUUCUUUUGUCUAAGUUAACUCUUCAUUCUUCUCCUAUGCUCUUCCAGAUUGAUUACUCUUUAGACACUGAAUUAAAUGUUUCACAUUUUAUUGGAGAAUCAUAUAUCUAUGCUAGAUUAUAAUAUUUAGUUCAGAAUUGUGUAUCCACCUUUUUACUGAAUUUUACAAAUGUUUUUUGCUUGUUUAGUUUACCCAGCAUUAGGGCUCUCUCACAUUUUUGUCCUGAUUUUUAUAAAUAUCUGCUGGGGAUUCAUAUUUUUUCGUUAUUUCUUCCAUUUGUUUUGAAAGAGAAUAUCAGUUUUGAAUAGUCAUUAUCUUUGACCAUUAUAUUGUGAGUCGAUACAAUAAUUUCUCAUUUCAGGUCCACUCCCUCCUCGAAGAAUAUCUGAUUCAUUAUUCGUUUCGUGAAUUCUUUAUUCCAGCUCCUGCGGAGGAGGAUUAUGCACCCUUAUUAUCAUUGCGAAGAAGGCAAUAGAAGGCUAUGGAUUUUCUAGGGUGGGCACAUUUGCUGUCUGGUCUUCUGAUGCAACACUGUGAUUCACCUUUUGCUCUCUGGUUCUUGAAUUUUGGCUUUUGGCUGCUCGUGUAGUAUCGUCCUAAAUAAGUAGAUGAGUUCGAUCCAUCGUGUCCAUUUGUCCUUUGGGUAAAUAAAUGAAGAAAACUACAAAAAUAUAUAUUUUGUGCUGUGUGAUUUAUCUUGUAAGACUGUUACCUUUCUAUUAAGACACAUAUUACCUUGCUUUGCUUGCUCUGCUUUCUGAGUGAAUGCUCUGCUGCUGGUGCAGUUUAAUUAUGUCUAAUUUUUUAGAACUGGCAUUUAUUUAGACUGUAUAUACAUGUUUACAAAUUUAUCAGCUAGAUUAGUGUGUCGAGUCACGCAAAGGAGACGUGCCCUGGGUGCGUCCCUGUCACUAGUAUCUUAUUUUUUAUUUUUAUUUUUAUUUAUAAAGUUUACACUUGGUGGUCGUCCGUUCACUCCUAUGUACCACCUCUUUCUCUCAGCUCUGUCAAGCGAACCACGCGUAAGAACCUAC